GUGCUCGCUUGGGCAGCACACAUACUAAAACUGGAGCGAUGCAGAGAAGAUGAGCACGGCUCCUGCGUGAGGAUGACAUGCAAAUGUGUACAGCGUUCCAUGUUUUU
Hippopotamus amphibius kiboko is the source of this 107-nucleotide small nuclear RNA. The record is from RefSeq and is a predicted model, not a curated record. Lineage: Eukaryota; Metazoa; Chordata; Mammalia; Artiodactyla; Hippopotamidae.